RNAcentral lists this antisense RNA (69 nucleotides) under Actinophytocola xinjiangensis. RNAcentral's name for it is "Actinophytocola sp. QAIII60 ASpks TB sRNA". It matches the Rfam family "ASpks TB sRNA". Lineage: Bacteria; Bacillati; Actinomycetota; Actinomycetes; Pseudonocardiales; Pseudonocardiaceae. The record is from Rfam by way of RNAcentral.
CUUGACCGAGCCGACCAGAAGUGGGGUCUCCCGGUCCUGCCCGUAGGUCGCGAGCAGCGCCUGCGCCUC